CAGGAUGAACGCUGGCGGCGUGCCUAAUACAUGCAAGUCGAGCGAACCACUUCGGUGGGAAGCGGCGAACGGGUGAGUAACACGUAGGUGAUCUGCCCAUCAGACGGGGACAACGAUUGGAAACGAUCGCUAAUACCGGAUAGGACGAAAGUUUAAAGAUGCUCCUGGCAUCACUGAUGGAUGAGCCUGCGGCGCAUUAGCUAGUUGGUGGGGUAAAGGCCUACCAAGGCGACGAUGCGUAGCCGACCUGAGAGGGUGAACGGCCACACUGGGACUGAGACACGGCCCAGACUCCUACGGGAGGCAGCAGUAGGGAAUCUUCGGCAAUGGGCGAAAGCCUGACCGAGCAACGCCGCGUGAAUGAAGAAGGCCUUCGGGUUGUAAAAUUCUGUUAUAAGGGAAGAAAGGUGAUAGGAGGAAAUGACUAUCAAUUGACGGUACCUUAUGAGAAAGCCACGGCUAACUACGUGCCAGCAGCCGCGGUAAUACGUAGGUGGCAAGCGUUAUCCGGAAUUAUUGGGCGUAAAGAGCGCGCAGGUGGUUAAUUAAGUCUGAUGUGAAAGCCCACGGCUUAACCGUGGAGGGUCAUUGGAAACUGGUUGACUUGAGUGCAGAAGAGGGAAGUGGAAUUCCAUGUGUAGCGGUGAAAUGCGUAGAGAUAUGGAGGAACACCAGUGGCGAAGGCGGCUUCCUGGUCUGCAACUGACACUGAGGCGCGAAAGCGUGGGGAGCAAACAGGAUUAGAUACCCUGGUAGUCCACGCCGUAAACGAUGAGUGCUAGGUGUGCGGGGACUGACCCCCUCAGUGCAGGAGUAACAACAAUAAGUAUUGCACCUGGGGAGUACGAUCGCAAGGUUGAAACUCAAAGGAAUUGACGGGGGCCCGCACAAGCGGUGGAUUAUGUGGUUUAAUUCGAAGCAACGCGAAGAACCUUACCAGGGCUUGACAUCCUGCUAACGAAGUAGAGAUACAUCAGGUGCCCUUCGGGGAAAACAGAGACAGGUGGUGCAUGGUUGUCGUCAGCUCGUGUCGUGAGAUGUUGGGUUAAGUCCCGCAACGAGCGCAACCCCUAUUGUUAGUUGCUACGCAAGAGCACUCUAGCGAGACUGCCGUUGACAAAACGGAGGAAGGCGGGGACGACGUCAAAUCAUCAUGCCCCUUAUGUCCUGGGCUACACACGUAAUACAAUGGCGGUCAACAGAGGGAUGCAAAGCCGCGAGGCAGAGCGAACCCCCAAAAAGCCGUC
Molecule: ribosomal RNA, 1247 nt
Filed under: uncultured bacterium
Lineage: Bacteria
Description: bacterial SSU rRNA
Rfam family: Bacterial small subunit ribosomal RNA
Source: RNAcentral